AAUGAACGCUGGCGGCAGGCCUAACACAUGCAAGUCGAACGAUGGCUCAGGGCGUGGUGGCGCACGGGGGCGGAACGCGGCGGAAGGGGGCUGUCGGCUCGGAAUAACUCAGGGAAACGGGGGCUAACACCGGAAAACGUCGCAAAACCAAAGAUAUAUCACCGGAAGGUGCGCCCGGGUAGCUUUAGCUAGGUGGGGACGUAAAGGCCGACCAAGGCGACGAUCGUUAGCGGGUCUCAGAGAAUGGUCCGCCACACUGGGACUGGGCCACGGCCCAGACUACUGCAGAAGGCAGCAGUGCGUAAUCUUGGCCUAUCGGCUAGAGCCUGAACCACCUCUGCCGCGUGAGUGCUUAUGGCCUUAGGGAUGUACAGCUCUUUUACCCGGCACUAUACUGACGGUACCGGAAGAAUAAGCCCCGGCUAACUCCGUG
RNAcentral lists this ribosomal RNA (433 nucleotides) under uncultured bacterium. Its description in RNAcentral is "partial 16S ribosomal RNA". It matches the Rfam family "Bacterial small subunit ribosomal RNA", at positions 29 to 507 of the family's 1533-position model. The record is from RNAcentral.